GGUCACGAGUGCCAGCGCGAAGCCCCGGCUUGCUGGCCGGCAACCCUCCUCCGCGGCGGGGUGCCCCGGGUGAUGACCGGGCCGUCGCGACACCCGCGCCGGCAAGCGCGGAUC
This 114-nucleotide non-coding RNA is filed under the name Pseudonocardia sp. RNAcentral's name for it is "SAM-IV sequence". It matches the Rfam family "SAM (S-adenosyl methionine) riboswitch aptamer". From Rfam's summary of the family: SAM-IV is a mRNA element that regulates gene expression via direct sensing of S-adenosylmethionine (SAM or AdoMet). Lineage: Bacteria; Bacillati; Actinomycetota; Actinomycetes; Pseudonocardiales; Pseudonocardiaceae. The record is from RNAcentral. RNAcentral also lists the same sequence under 1 other name.